GGACAACUGUUGGAAACGACAGCUAAUACCGCAUGAUCUUGAGAAGACCAAACAUUUUCAAGUAAACUUCCGGGGCUGAGGGAGGGGGCUGCGGCCCAUCAGGUAGUUGGUGAGGUAACGGCUCACCAAGCCGACGACGGGUAGGGGGCCUGAGAGGGUGGUCCCCCACACUGGGACUGACAACGGCCCAGACUCCUACGGGAGGCAGCAGUAAGGGAUAUUGCGCAAUGGGCGAAAGCCUGACGCAGCAACGCCGCGUGGAGGAAGACGGCCUUCGGGUUGUAAACUCGUUUUGCGUCUGACAAUCGUGAUGGUAGGGCGCGAAUAAGUCACGGCUAACUACGUGCCAGCAGCCGCGGUAAAACGUAGGUGGCGAGCGUUAUCCGGAUUUACUGGGCGUAAAGGGUGUGCAGGCGGGCGGCCAAGUGGUGUAUGAAAUAGCCAGGCUCAACCUGGCGCGGUUAUGCCAGACUGGUCGUCUGGAGUGCGAGAGAGGGGCGUGGAAUUCCGGGUGUAGUGGUGAAAUGCGUAGAGAUCCGGAGGAACCCCAGAGGCGAAGGCGGCGCCCUGGCUCGCAACUGACGCUCAGACACGACAGCAUGGGGAGCGAACGGGAUUAGAAACCCCGGUAGUCCAUGCCGUAAACGAUGCAAACUAGGCGCUGACGGUCUCAACCCCGCCGGUGCCGCAGCUAACGCGUUAAGUUUGCCGCCUGGGGAGUACGGCCGCAAGGCUAAAACUCAAAUGAAUUGACGG
RNAcentral lists this ribosomal RNA (756 nucleotides) under uncultured bacterium. Its description in RNAcentral is "bacterial SSU rRNA". It matches the Rfam family "Bacterial small subunit ribosomal RNA", at positions 141 to 916 of the family's 1533-position model. The record is from RNAcentral.